RNAcentral lists this ribosomal RNA (550 nucleotides) under uncultured Glomeromycotina. RNAcentral describes it as "SSU rRNA". It matches the Rfam family "Eukaryotic small subunit ribosomal RNA", at positions 548 to 1098 of the family's 1831-position model. The record is from RNAcentral. Lineage: Eukaryota; Fungi; Glomeromycota.
UUGGAGGGCAGUCUGGUGCCAGCAGCCGCGGUAAUUCCAGCUCCAAUAGCGUAUAUUAAAGUUGUUGCAGUUAAAAAGCUCGUAGUUGAACUUCGGGGUUUACCCAUUGGUCAGGCUUUAUUGUCUGCACUGGUGAGAUGAAUCUCUACCUUCUGAGGAACUUUCAUGCCAUUUAUUUGGUGUGAUGGGAAAUCAGGACUGUUACUUUGAAAAAAUUAGAGUGUUUAAAGCAGGCUAACGUCUGAAUACAUUAGCAUGGAAUAAUGAAGUAGGACGGACUGAUUCUAUUUCGUUGGUUUCUAGGAUCACCGUAAUGAUUAAUAGGGAUAGUUGGGGGCAUUAGUAUUCAAUUGUCAGAGGUGAAAUUCUUGGAUUUAUUGAAGACUAACUACUGCGAAAGCAUUUGCCAAGGAUGUUUUCAUUAAUCAAGAACGAAAGUUAGGGGAUCGAAGACGAUCUGAUACCGUCGUAGUCUUAACCAUAAACUAUGCCGACUAGGGAUCGGACGAAGUUAAUUUUAUAAUGACGCGUUCGGCGCCUUACGGGAAAC